GACGAACGCUGGCGGCGUGCUUAACACAUGCAAGUCGAACGGACAGGCCCUGCUUUUGUGGGGUGCUCGAGUGGCGAACGGGUGAGUAACACGUGAGUAACCUGCACUUGACUUUGUGAUAUCUUCAGGAAACUGGGGCUAAUACCGGAUAGGAGCUCCUGCUGCAUGGUGGGGGUUGGAAAGUUUCGGCGGUGGUGGAUGGACUCGCGGCUUAUCAGCUUGUUGGUCGGGUAGUGGCUUACCAAGGCUUUGACGGAUAGGCGGCCUGAGAGGGUGACCGGGGACCAGGCGACUGAGAGACGGCCCAGACGGGUACGGGCGGCAACAGGGGAGAAUAUUGCAGAAUGGGCGGACGCCAGUUGCAACAACGCCCCGUGCGGGAAAACGGCCUUCGGGGGAAAAACCGCUUUCGACGGAGACGAAGCGUGAGUGACGGUAAUGAAUAAAGAAGCAACGGCUAACUACGUG
Molecule: ribosomal RNA, 468 nt
Filed under: uncultured bacterium
Lineage: Bacteria
Description: partial 16S ribosomal RNA
Rfam family: Bacterial small subunit ribosomal RNA
Source: RNAcentral